UGAGGAAUAUUGCGCAAUGGGGGAAACCCUGACGCAGCAACGCCGCGUGGGUGAUGAAGGCUUUCGGGUCGUAAAACCCUUUUCUGGGGGACGAAACCAGACGGUACCCCAGGAAUAAGUCCCGGCUAACUACGUGCCAGCAGCCGCGGUAAAACGUAGGGGGCGAGCGUUAUCCGGAAUUAUUGGGCGUAAAGCGCACGUAGGCGGCAUAGUAAGUUGGACGUGAAAGCUCUCGGCUUAACUGAGAGAGGUCGUUCAAAACUGCGAUGCUUGAGACUAGAAGAGGAGAGCGGAAUUCCCGGUGUAGUGGUGGAAUGCGUAGAUAUCGGGAGGAACACCAGUGGCGAAAGCGGCUCUCUGGUCUACGUCUGACGCUGAGGUGCGAAAGCGUGGGGAGCGAACG
This 403-nucleotide ribosomal RNA is filed under the name uncultured bacterium. Its description in RNAcentral is "bacterial SSU rRNA". It matches the Rfam family "Bacterial small subunit ribosomal RNA", at positions 355 to 774 of the family's 1533-position model. The record is from RNAcentral.